RNAcentral lists this ribosomal RNA (692 nucleotides) under fungal sp. JH 180. Its description in RNAcentral is "eukaryotic LSU rRNA". The stretch from base 247 to 400 matches the Rfam family "5.8S ribosomal RNA". Lineage: Eukaryota; Fungi. The record is from RNAcentral.
CGGAAGGAUCAUUAUCGAGUUUUUGAAACGGGUUGUCGCUGGUCCCGUUCUUAACAGAGUCGGGACAUGUGCACACCUGGCUUCAUUCCACUCUUCAACCCCUGUGCACUUGUUGUAGGUUUCAGGUCGGACGCGGGGCUUUCGACUUCAUCGUCGAGAGCCUCAAGGAAAGCCUGAGCCUAUGUUUUACCAUACACACGCUUCAGUUAUAGAAUGUAAACAUCGCGUAUAACGCAUUUUAAAUACAACUUUCAGCAACGGAUCUCUUGGCUCUCGCAUCGAUGAAGAACGCAGCGAAAUGCGAUAAGUAAUGUGAAUUGCAGAAUUCAGUGAAUCAUCGAAUCUUUGAACGCACCUUGCGCUCCUUGGUAUUCCGAGGAGCAUGCCUGUUUGAGUGUCAUGGAAUUCUCAACCUUUGAAAGCUUUUAUCGGUUCUCAAAGGCUUGGACUUGGAGGUCGUGUCGGCUCUGCAAAGAAUAUCGACUCCUCUGAAACGUAUCAGUGCGAACCUUUACGGAUCGUCUUCGGUGUGAUAAACGUCUACGCCGUGGUCGUGAAGUAUGAUCGUGUCCGUGCUUCUAACCGUCUCCUUUGCGAGACAAAAACUGUGUUACUUACUAUAAGUAACAUAGGCAUUGACAAUCUGACCUCAAAUCAGGUAGGACUACCCGCUGAACUUAAGCAUAUCAAUA